This 548-nucleotide ribosomal RNA is filed under the name uncultured bacterium. Its description in RNAcentral is "partial 16S ribosomal RNA". It matches the Rfam family "Bacterial small subunit ribosomal RNA", at positions 355 to 896 of the family's 1533-position model. The record is from RNAcentral.
UGGGGAAUUUUGGACAAUGGGCGCAAGCCUGAUCCAGCCAUGCCGCGUGCGGGAAGAAGGCCUUCGGGUUGUAAACCGCUUUUGUCAGGGAAGAAAUCUUCUGAGUUAAUACCUCGGGAGGAUGACGGUACCUGAAGAAUAAGCACCGGCUAACUACGUGCCAGCAGCCGCGGUAAUACGUAGGGUGCAAGCGUUAAUCGGAAUUACUGGGCGUAAAGCGUGCGCAGGCGGUUUUGUAAGACAGAGGUGAAAUCCCCGGGCUCAACCUGGGAACUGCCUUCGUGACUGCAAGGCUUGAGUGCGGCAGAGGGGGAUGGAAUUCCGCGUGUAGCAGUGAAAUGCGUAGAUAUGCGGAGGAACACCGAUGGCGAAGGCGAUCCCCUGGGCCUGCACUGACGCUCAUGCACGAAAGCGUGGGGAGCAAACAGGAUUAGAUACCCUGGUAGUCCACGCCCUAAACGAUGUCAACUGGUUGUUGGGAAGGUUCCUUCUCAGUAACGUAGCUAACGCGUGAAGUUGACCGCCUGGGGAGUACGGCCGCAAGGUUG